Molecule: unclassified non-coding RNA, 783 nt
Filed under: Hevea brasiliensis (rubber tree)
Lineage: Eukaryota; Viridiplantae; Streptophyta; Magnoliopsida; Malpighiales; Euphorbiaceae
Source: RNAcentral
AAUAAUAAAUUUACUAAAAAUGAAGUGCUCCAGCAACUAUUGAAACCGAUCUGCAAAUAUACCUCACAAGUCACACCGCAUGAAUUGUAUCUUUAUUGAAAUCUAAAAACUACAUGAAGCAAUAAACAUAAAGCUACCAUUCUUUCAAAGAAUAGAAGCACUCAGCAGAUAAUCUUCAAUUGGACAAAACAAGGAGGAAUUAGCAUGUUCAGACUAAGAGAGAACAUACCAAACAUCUAAUGAUAACGCAACACUAAAAUUCCAUAACAGCGUGAAGAGAUCCAUGAAACAAAUAUGCCAUUCUCCAAGUAUAAAAUGAGUCCGACCUUACAUUAUGCAUUAUUUCUUAGAGAAAAGGAAUAAUAAGUUGAGUAGCACCACCAUCUAUAUUCCUCAAUCAAGCAGUUGUCCCAUUGACAAGCGCAAUAAUCAUCGUACUCAUCCAAUACUGUCAAGACACACACAUUGCAAGAGAGAGCCCAAUUAUAAACCUCAAACCAACAUAAAAUAAAUAGCAAGGGCUGAUCACAACAUGUGAAGCGUGCAGCCAUAUCUAGGACCUAACACAUCAGAAAUGACUAACAUAGCAAACCUAAACAAGUACUACCAAAAAAGUGGAAACUCAAACAUUGCCAAUAUAGGGAGAAGUUGUUUACGGAAUAAGGUCGUCCACCAACAAUACUCAAUUUUAGCACAGGGAGAUCCACCCGACGCUAACUAACAUGCUCAUCACCAAGACUGACACAUUAUGAAUUUUCAGCAUGCCAACAAGAUUUUACGGUA